RNAcentral lists this non-coding RNA (44 nucleotides) under Trichobilharzia regenti. The record is from RNAcentral. Lineage: Eukaryota; Metazoa; Platyhelminthes; Trematoda; Strigeidida; Schistosomatidae.
GUGCUGAUGAAUAGUCCCAACAGGACGAAACAGCUGUCCAGUAC